GUCCAUUUUCUUUUUUGUCCUCUUCUUGUGUCUUCCAAUGGUCGAUUUUGGGAGUCUCAGUGAAGGUUGGUCUUUCGAAUCAUCUUCUCUUUGGAGGAACCUCCUGUUGGUUCAAGCAAAGGAUGCAGUAUUGUACCAUCUUCUUUUCUCGGCACAAUCGGAUCCAAAUUGAGUCUGGAGGAUCUAGGUCUUAUCCAUUCCAAUACAGGAUCCCAACUUCAUAUGAA
RNAcentral lists this long non-coding RNA (227 nucleotides) under Elaeis guineensis (African oil palm). RNAcentral's name for it is "long non-coding RNA (EGUI_LNC060387)". Lineage: Eukaryota; Viridiplantae; Streptophyta; Magnoliopsida; Arecales; Arecaceae. The record is from RNAcentral.